CCUCCGCAUACCAGGCAGAUUUUGGGGAGACGCCAAGGUGAGCUUCCCUCCGCUCUUGAUCUCUUUCUCUACACAUACAUCUAUGCACUCCUGAUCUCUUUCAAUCUACACGCACAUCUGCAAGAUUUGUGUAACCUAAAUUCCUCUGUACCAUGUAUGCCGGCCCAACCUAAUGCAUACCAUCUGCCUCAUGAAUGGAUAAAUGAUUUAUUUUUGUCGCCACAUAAACCAUUGACUGGUGUGCAGGAGGCCUUCUAAUUGGUGCUUUGUGUGUGCUUUUGAAGUUUAGGCAGAUGUUGGCACUAGUUAAGUUGCAACCAAUACUUUCUACACAUGCAUAUCUAGAGAUAGAGCAGCGGAAAUAGUACAACAUGCAAGUGUGCGGAAAGUAAAGGGGUAGAGAUGGGAAGAUCAAAUGCAAUGAAGACAUAGUGAUUUUUGGCGUGGUACCUCCACGUUGAUGGAGACUUCAAGCCAUGCAGGGUAAUGGCUUCGUGAGUCCAUGGAGGGCUCCACCGACGAAGGGUCUAUGAAGAAGCAACCUUGUCUAUUCCACCAUGGCUUACGUCCAUAAAGGACUAGCCUCACUUGGGGUAGAUCUUCACUAAGUAGGCAAUUUCCUAGCCCUUGCAAACUCCUUGGUUCAACUCCAUAUGAUCUUGGAGGCUCCCAAGUGACACCUAACCAAUCUAGGAGACACUACUCUCCAAAAGGUAAUAGAUGGUGUAUGAUGAUGAACUCCUUGCUCUUGUGCUUCAAAAGAUAGUCUCCUCAACACUCAAUCACUCUCUCAUAGAUUUGGCUUGGAUAGAAGGAGGAUUGGAGUGGAAGGAAACUCGAGGAGGCUAGAGAUCAAGGUUCAAACGGUUGGAUUGGAAUCUCUUGAUCUGAAGACAUUAGUAGCUGCUUCUCUCUUAGAAAAUGAAUGGUGGAAGUGUAGUUUCAUUCUCAUGGCUCUCACAAAGAGUAAGUGGGGGUGAAGGGGUAUAAAUAUCCUUCACCAAGAAUCCAACCGUUUGACACAACUCGGUGGCACCAAAAUGAAAAUCUCGUGAGAAAAGAUUCGAACAUUAGGAUUCUCGGUGAGACCAAACGAAUCUACUCGGUCACUCCGAUAUAUGAUGACCUAAGCAAGACCUCAUUUAGGUAAUUCCAAUCAAACCAACUCGGUUAUUCCGAAAUGGAAUGGAAGGGUUACAGAAACUUGGCCAGUGCAAAUCGGUGGGACCGAUCAUCAUCUCAAUGGAACCGAGUUUCUUGGAUUUGGCUAGUGGCUCUAUAUGAAGUAACUCGGUGGGUCUGAAGGUAUAGGAUUGAUGGGACCGAGUCUAGAAGUUAGGGUUUUGGACAAAUAGGAUUCGGAGAAAAUGGUUGAGGGUUUGGAGGAAUAUCUUCAAGCACUUGAGCAAAUAACACUACUAGGGAAAACCCUAGCAGUAGCGCGGGGUUUUGGCAUAUCAGUAGCGUGCCCACAACGCUACAACUAACUCUUAGAAGUAGCAUUGUCCCCACCAUGCUACUGCUACUGUAGUUUAGCAGCAGCGUGUUUCUGAGAACCUCACUACUGCUAAAAGCUGCAAUGCGCCUUUCUACCACGCGCUUCUACUAACGCGACACUGCUGCUACACACAAACCCAGCGCUACUAUUACUAUUUUCUGUAUUUUUUCUGCAGUGUUUUUACUCUGUUUUAAUAGGUUUUAUACAAUAGCCUCUGUCAUAUCAUUCUAAACUAUAAGGACCCUAGCCAACUUGGCUCCAGGAGUCUCCCCCGAUUGGACCUUCACUGACCGUUCGAUCUGCCUUUCUGGGGCAUCUAAGUCGUUUGAUCUUCACAACAGUAAAACCCAAUUUUCAUCUCGUGGUAGUUUUGGUUGGCCAAUGACGAGUGGGAUCAUCUCGCGCUCUCGUUGGCUAGGUCAGCUGUGGCCGUGUGCAGGAGGUUUUGGCCAGUCUGCUCCGCGCUUCCAGAGCCAAUCCGCCUCGUCCCACUCCCGCAUCUUAGCCAUCACACAUACCCUAGCCCCGUUUUCCCUCGAUCCAAGUCCCACAGCUUCCCGCCUCGGCCCUGCAGCCUCGCCGCCUCCUGCUAUUCCACCUCCACCAUGCUAGCCCCUCUACCUCGCCUUCCUUCUCUGCAUUGUCAAUGCGGCCGUCAUCGACCCCUGGUUCUAGAUCGGCGCAGGUUAGGCGAACCCGGUGGUGGGGUGAAGUGGCAGGGGAGGCGGGCGACGAGGGCAUCGGCCCGUCGCGAUUUGCUGAGGCUACAGGGAAGUGGGAGGAGGUGUGCGACAUGGUGAAGGAGCAGGCCUGCCCUCCUAGAAGCGCCGCUGCCGCUCAGCCAGGAAGGAGGCCAGGCUCGCCUCGUGCCGUGAGCGGCGGCGACGCCUAUGCCUCCACCCCACCUUAUUUUCCAUGCCUCUUCCUCAUAGCAGGCAAAUUUUGGGGAGACGCCAAGGUGAGCUUCCCUCCGCUCCUGAUCUCUUUCUCUACACAUACAUCUAUGCACUCCUGAUCUCUUUCUCUCUACACGCACAUCUGCGAGAUUUGUGUAGCCUAAAUUCUUGUGUACCAUGUAUGCCGGCCCAACCUAAUGCAUACCAUCUGCCUCACGAAUGGCUAAAUGAUUUAUUUUUGUCACCAUAUAGACCAUUGACUGGUGUGAAGGAGCCCUUCUAAUUGGUGCUCUAUGCGUGCUUUUGUUUUGUUGUAGAAUAAUAAUUCAAGUGCACCCGCAAAAAAAAUCAAGUGGAUGGCCGAUGCGCCUUGUUAUUUAGCGGUAUGAUGAUGGGCUGCUAAUUUUUGUUGUCCACUUCUACUAAUUUCUACCGACUUCCGCUUAAUUUGAUAUCUGAUGUAUAAGUAAUGCACUAAUAUACAGUACAUGAAAAAAUGACCCCGUCUUGCAUGUCAAAAGUAUGGUUUUGGUACAGAUUUGUUGUGUAUGCAUGGUAGAUCUUUCUAGGUUUUACUUUCUUAUUCUUCAACCAUAAUUCAGUUCAUGACACCAAGGUGCAACUACACCAAAGUGCAGACAUUAAAACAGUUUAGAACAGAACAAUUAGAUGCUUUUAGUUCUGACUGCAUGGAUGCUUUGGUCAAUGUUUAGAAAUGCAUUGUCCAUAUAGUUAUGUUAACAUAUUUGCUAGAGGGAACAGAAUGGUCUCUGAGUCGUUCAAAACUGAAGGCAGCACCAAGGUAUCACAUUUGCUACUUUGUAAAAUCAUGCAUAUGUAGGAGCUCAUCAGUCUGGCGACCUAAAUUGCUCCCCAACUUAUCUCUUUUUGUUUAGUCCAUAAUUUCAGGUUUCCUGUGGUUUCUGUUGCCAAGGUUUGAUCUUUAUUUUCAUGUUGUGUAGAUGAUUGCAGCUAAUGCCGAGCCUCUCGAGAGAGCCUCCUCCAACUUCCCCUCCUCACCAAGGAUGAGGACAUGAGGUAGUAAUUGUAGUAUGCAGAAUUACCUACAACUUGAGUAUAUACACGUUAUCCACUUCAUAUUAUUUCCAAUGGUUUUACUUCCACAUCACAUGUUUAUUUAUAUUAAAUCACAAGAACUUCAUGAGCUUGCUUGGUCACCAUGGAGAAGGGCAUUUUUUCAUGGAGCUGUAGAUUUUUUGAAUAUGCUCCCUGUUGGACACUUUUUUGGGUAUGUACAGGAUUUUUUGAGAAUAGGUGUGAAAAAAUUGACCAUCUGGUGGAUUUAUAUGACGGUAUGUUUAGUAGAUAAGUAGAUAAAUAAUGGAACUGCUUUAUUCCUUGUUGUGUACAUUUUUAGAACAUUAUCCUUUUUUGUGUACUGAUUGAAUGAUCUGCUCACACCAUGCAGGUACUCAUACAUAGUGAAAGCAGAGGCCAAAAGGUUUUGAUUUAGAUGAUUUAGUGGUGCCUUGUCAAUCUUCUUACCUCUAGGUCAAAAUUAAGCAGACGAUUUCUUGCUGAAGGACAUGCUCUUAUUCUCUGAGAUGGACAAUGAUGUGUGGUACAACCCAAAAAUCAGAGCUGGGCUUUACACACUUCAGUGGGCAAGUGAAGUCCCAGUUUUUCUUCUUUCCCCCGUUACUUCUCUGUUGUAUAGAGAGCAAUGCGUUUAUAUUAGCUGAAUGUUAGAUUGGAAUGCAGGUACUAGCAUCACAACACUAGGGUGGAGACCUGAAGCGAAGCAGAGGGGCGAACCAAGGAAAUCAGAGUCACGCUAUUUCUAUAUCCUAAUUCUACGCUCUUAUAUUUUUUUACACAUUUACAAUCUUGUGUUUUGAAUAAUUCUUGUGGCUUGACAAGACAGAGUGGAGGAUCAAGGAAUGAAGUCAGAACAAUUUUCUAAUUAAAUAUAUCCAAAGGUUGAUAAUAGGUCGUGUCAAGAUGAGUGCACGAGAAGGAUAGUGAAAAAAAAGGUGAGAAGGGUUCUGAGUAUUCUUUCCUCACUUUUCA
This 4425-nucleotide long non-coding RNA is filed under the name Triticum aestivum (bread wheat). RNAcentral describes it as "long non-coding RNA (TAES_LNC018776)". The record is from RNAcentral. Lineage: Eukaryota; Viridiplantae; Streptophyta; Magnoliopsida; Poales; Poaceae.